CCUACGGGAGGCAGCAGUGGGGAAUAUUGCACAAUGGGGGAAACCCUGAUGCAGCGACGCCGCGUGAGUGAAGGAGUAUUUCGGUAUGUAAAGCUCUAUCAGCAGGGAAGAAAAAAGACGGUACCUGACUAAGAAGCCCCGGCUAACUACGUGCCAGCAGCCGCGGUAAUACGUAGGGGGCAAGCGUUAGCCGGAUUCACUGGGUGUAAAGGGAGCGUAGACGGCGCGGCAAGCCAGAGGUGAAAGGCAGGGGCCUAACCCCGGAACUGCAUUGGAAACUGCAGUGCUGGAGUGCAGGAGAGGUAGGUGGAAUUCCUAGUGUAGCGGUGAAAUGCGUAGAUAGUAGGAGGAACACCAGUGGCGAAGGCGGCUUACUGGACAGUAACUGACGGUGAGGCUCGAAAGCGUGGGGAGCAAACAGGAUUAGAUACCCCUGUAGUC
This 441-nucleotide ribosomal RNA is filed under the name uncultured bacterium. RNAcentral's name for it is "partial 16S ribosomal RNA". It matches the Rfam family "Bacterial small subunit ribosomal RNA", at positions 338 to 795 of the family's 1533-position model. The record is from RNAcentral.